This 65-nucleotide transfer RNA is filed under the name Echinostomatidae sp. MSB para 30070. Its description in RNAcentral is "tRNA-Gly". Lineage: Eukaryota; Metazoa; Platyhelminthes; Trematoda; Plagiorchiida; Echinostomatidae. The record is from RNAcentral.
ACGUCAGUAGUAUAUUUGAGUAUGCCGUCUUUCCAAGUCGGGGGUCUAAUGUGAUUAGUUGUCGU